CUACGGAGGGUGCGAGCGUUAAUCGGAAUUACUGGGCGUAAAGCGUACGUAGGCGGUUGGUUAAGUUAGAUGUGAAAGCCCCGGGCUUAACCUGGGAACUGCAUUUAAAACUGGCGAGCUAGAGUUGAGUAGAGGGGAGUGGAAUUUCAGGUGUAGCGGUGAAAUGCGUAGAGAUCUGAAGGAACACCAGUGGCGAAGGCGACUCCCUGGACUCGAACUGACGCUGAGGUACGAAAGCGUGGGUAGCAAACGGGAUUAGAAACCCGAGUAGUCC
This 274-nucleotide ribosomal RNA is filed under the name uncultured bacterium. RNAcentral's name for it is "partial 16S ribosomal RNA". It matches the Rfam family "Bacterial small subunit ribosomal RNA", at positions 523 to 796 of the family's 1533-position model. The record is from RNAcentral.